Molecule: microRNA, 24 nt
Filed under: Sorghum bicolor (sorghum)
Lineage: Eukaryota; Viridiplantae; Streptophyta; Magnoliopsida; Poales; Poaceae
Description: sbi-miR437x-3p
Gene: sbi-miR437x-3p
Source: miRBase by way of RNAcentral
AUUUGACUGACACGGAUUCUAGGA